ACGAACGCUGGCGGCGUGCUUAACACCUGCCAGUCGAACGGAAAGGCCCUGCUUUUGUGGGGUGCUCGAGUGGCGAACGGGUGAGUAACACGUGAGUAACCUGCCCUUGACUUUGGGAUAACUUCAGGAAACUGGGGCUAAUACCGGAUAGGAGCUCCUGCUGCAUGGUGGGGGUUGGAAAGUUUCGGCGGUUGGGGAUGGACUCGCGGCUUAUCAGCUUGUUGGUGGGGUAGUGGCUUACCAAGGCUUUGACGGGUAGCCGGCCUGAGAGGGUGACCGGGCACAAUGGGACUGAGGUACGGCCCAGACUCCUACGGGAGGCAGCAGUGGGGAAUAUUGCACAAUGGGCGGAAGCCUGAUGCAGCAACGCCGCGUGCGGGAUGACGGCCUUCGGGUUGUAAACCGCUUUCGCCUGUGACGAAGCGUGAGUGACGGUAAUGGGUAAAGAAGCACCGGCUAACUACGUG
RNAcentral lists this ribosomal RNA (467 nucleotides) under uncultured bacterium. RNAcentral describes it as "partial 16S ribosomal RNA". It matches the Rfam family "Bacterial small subunit ribosomal RNA", at positions 29 to 507 of the family's 1533-position model. The record is from RNAcentral.